CCUACGGGUGGCAGCAGUGGGGAAUAUUGCACAAUGGGGGAAACCCUGAUGCAGCGACGCCGCGUGAGCGAUGAAGUAUUUCGGUAUGUAAAGCUCUAUCAGCAUGGAAGAAAAUGACUCUACCUGACUAAGAAUCCCCGGCUAACUACGUGCCAGCAGCCGCGGUAAUACGGAGGGAGCAAGAGUUAUCCGGAUUUACUGGGUGUAAAGGGAGCGUAGACGGCGGGGCAAGCCAGAUGUGAAAGUCCGGGGCUCAACCCCGGGACUGCAUUUGGAACUGUGCUGCUAGAGUGCCGGAGAGGCAGGCGGAAUUCGUAGUGUAGCGGUGAAAUGCGUAGAUAUUAGGAGGAACACCAGUGGCGAAGGCGGCCUGCUGGACGAUGACUGACGUUGAGGCUCGAAAGCGUGGGGAGCAAACAGGAUUAGAUACCCCAGUAGUC
This 440-nucleotide ribosomal RNA is filed under the name uncultured bacterium. RNAcentral's name for it is "partial 16S ribosomal RNA". It matches the Rfam family "Bacterial small subunit ribosomal RNA", at positions 338 to 795 of the family's 1533-position model. The record is from RNAcentral.